This 465-nucleotide ribosomal RNA is filed under the name uncultured bacterium. RNAcentral's name for it is "partial 16S ribosomal RNA". It matches the Rfam family "Bacterial small subunit ribosomal RNA", at positions 28 to 507 of the family's 1533-position model. The record is from RNAcentral.
GAUGAACGCUGGCGGCGUGCUUAACACAUGCAAGUCGAACGGAAAGGCUCCUGCUUGCAGGGGUACUCGAGUGGCGAACGGGUGAGUAACACGUGGGUGAUCUGCCCUGCACUUCGGGAUAAGCCUGGGAAACUGGGUCUAAUACCGGAUAGGACCACAUUUUGGAUGGUGUGGUGGAAAGUUUUUCGGUGUGGGAUGAGCUCGCGGCCUAUCAGCUUGUUGGUGGGGUAAUGGCCUACCAAGGCGUCGACGGGUAGCCGGCCUGAGAGGGUGUACGGCCACAUUGGGACUGAGAUACGGCCCAGACUCCUACGGGAGGCAGCAGUGGGGAAUAAUGCACAAUGGGCGCAAGCCUGAUGCAGCGACGCCGCGUGGGGGAUGACGGCCUUCGGGUUGUAAACUCCUUUCGCUAGGGACGAAGCGCAAGUGACGGUACCUGGAGAAGAAGCACCGGCUAACUACGUG